This is a long non-coding RNA of Syngnathoides biaculeatus (alligator pipefish), 813 nucleotides long. RefSeq lists it as uncharacterized. The transcript has 3 exons. NCBI's taxonomy places the organism in Eukaryota, Metazoa, Chordata, Actinopteri, Syngnathiformes, Syngnathidae. The record is from RefSeq and is a predicted model, not a curated record.
CGGAGUGCGUUGUAGGGAACAGCCAUGUUUUAACCAUUUCACAUGAACAGGUUUUUGUUGUACUCUUAAACUCUAAACUGUCAGCCAUCCCCCCGCCCCCAAUAUUUUAGCCGCAUUGUUAAAUAUGCCCCAGGGUUCACAGGGCCUCAAAAAAGUAAUGGCUUGCCGGUAAAUGUAUACCCCACCAAGUAAAGAAACCUAGGCCAAAAUUUAAACUAAAAUUUAACUUUUUAGAUCUAAAUUUUGAUAUAGGUCUUGUAUUUGAGGUACAAGUGUACCUUUGUUGAGUAUUGUCAGUUAAGGGGUGGGAUGUGCUUGUUUGUAAGAUUCAUCUGCUGUGGCCUCUUACGAGUGGACAUGUCAGCCAUUACCAUUCAGGUAAAUUGUUCAGACUAAGACUUUCUCGAGGUCUUGCAUCCACCUACAGAACCAAGGAAGCAAACAUAUACAUCAAGAUUUGUUCUCCAAAAUGUGACGAAUGUGAUGGAAUCUUGUUUACCCAAAGAAACUCCAUACAAAACCUGGGAGAACAUCGCCAUGGGAGAGUUCCAGCUGAGUGGGGGUACACCUUAGACUGGUUGCCAGUCAAUCACAGUACAGUAUAGUCCAUUGGAGCCGUGAUUCUCAACCAGGGUGCUGUGACAUACUAAUGUGAGCCCUGAGAGCUCAUUAAAGGUCCUGUGAGAAAUGAUCCAAUCUCACAUAAUUUGUCAGAAAAUUAUUUAUUCAUUACAAAGAUCAUUUUGUUUAUUGAUGGCAGAUGGUACAAUAAACCUGUGUACCCACCUGUUACUAUUCUUACAACGGAAAAAG